GGAUGGCAGCUAAGUACAAAAGAAGGCGUGCGUGCAAGUUAUAAUUACUGCAGACAAAACUUCUUGUCUGGAAGAGUUCUGCAGGAAAUGGCCAGCCUCAAACGACAAUUCACGGAACUGUUAUCGGAUAUAGGGUUUGCAAGGGAAGGGCUCAGAGCAAGGGAAAUUGAGAAAAGGGCCCAAGGAGGAGAUGGUGUCUUAGAUGCCACAGGAGAAGAGGCAAAUUCAAAUGCUGAGAACCCCAAGCUGAUAUCAGCAAUGCUGUGUGCUGCUUUGUAUCCAAAUGUAGUGCAGGUGAAAAGCCCAGAAGGAAAAUUUCAGAAGACCAGUACUGGAGCUGUCAGAAUGCAACCAAAAUCAGCUGAGUUGAAGUUUGUCACCAAGAACGAUGGAUAUGUACACAUUCACCCUUCAUCAGUGAACUAUCAGGUCAGAAUGGUGGAGUAUACUUAAUGUUUACAGGUCGUCCUAGGGUAGGAAAUGCAAUUCCUUAAAUUCAGCCACACCAUGUUCUAUCACUUGCUGUCCCCAGCAGUACCACUGACUGAGGGAAGAUUGAAUAAGAAUAAACAGACUGGAAAUUG
RNAcentral lists this small RNA (584 nucleotides) under Pan troglodytes (chimpanzee). Its description in RNAcentral is "retained intron". The record is from RNAcentral. Lineage: Eukaryota; Metazoa; Chordata; Mammalia; Primates; Hominidae.